Molecule: small nuclear RNA, 108 nt
Organism: Cavia aperea (Brazilian guinea pig)
Lineage: Eukaryota; Metazoa; Chordata; Mammalia; Rodentia; Caviidae
Source: Ensembl
GCAAUCACUUUGGCAGCACAUACACUAAAAUUGGAACCGUACAGAGAUCAGUAUGCCUGGCCUCUGUGCAGAGGUAACAAGCAAAUUCACGAAGCACUCCGUAUUUUU